CAAGCCCUUUGCUUCUAUGCCUGUGCCUUUGAGAGAUAUGAGAUAGCUAGCCAAGGUGUUCACUUGAAAACCCAGCUUUAGCUAGAGAGAGAGAGAGAGAGAGAGAGAUCAGAGAGAGGACGAAGACUCUAGGUUUUUAGUUUAAGAGAGUUUACUUCUGUUUGUAGAAAUGGCCAUUCACACGUCAUGGGCUUUUGCCUUUGGCCUUCUAGGCAACAUCGUUUCAUUUAUGGUUUACCUAGCUCCACUGCCAACAUUCUAUCAGAUAUACAAAAA
Molecule: long non-coding RNA, 276 nt
Organism: Carya illinoinensis
Lineage: Eukaryota; Viridiplantae; Streptophyta; Magnoliopsida; Fagales; Juglandaceae
Exons: 3
Source: RefSeq, a predicted model, not a curated record